Priapulus caudatus is the source of this 1079-nucleotide long non-coding RNA. RefSeq lists it as uncharacterized. The transcript is spliced from 2 exons. NCBI's taxonomy places the organism in Eukaryota, Metazoa, Priapulida, Priapulimorpha, Priapulimorphida, Priapulidae. The record is from RefSeq and is a predicted model, not a curated record.
CGCGCACAGGAUGCUGAGGUAGAGGAGACGCGCGUGCACCAGAUGGAGCUGCUGCGUGGGCUGUGCAUUCCCGCGGUGACGUAUCUGCUGCACGCUGUGCUGAGCGGCACGGGGCAGCACCGCGAGUGUCUACAGCUAGCCGACGUCGUCGCCUCCGACAAUCACCAGCUGUACAAGGUAUUCCAGAAGGAGGAACUUCGGAGGUUCCUGGAGAAGAUGCGGGAUAGCUCGGUGGCGCUGAUGGAACAGGGUAUGGAUCCCCAGGGAUACGAACCGUCCCGGUGAAACCGAGCGUGUGGUAAAAACCGACAAGAACAAUAACAACAAAAACAACCUGCAGGUGGCGCCACGACACGGACGUGCUUGUGUAAUUAUCGCACAUGUAGGCAAGAUUUCUGCGCGAUGUGGAGAUGCAAUGAAAAUGCAGUAAAAAAAAAAGGCAACCAUUGCAUUUCUGCACCUCAGCGCUCGAAGAUAUCCUCUAGCUGUUCAUUAUUGUUCGGUCUAACGUGUAAGUCUAGUGUAUCUACCAGGGAGCCAAAGACCAAGAGGCCUGGAUGGGCACGACACAUCAUACAUGGCAGCCGAUAUAUUGCUGACUCGGCUACAAAGCGUUUUUGCCUCUCGUGGUUUUGGCGGCAUGUGGGGGCUGGACAUCAGCAAUCGUAACGACUAUUGUGAAAAGUAUCGGUUUGUUUAGGAAUUCCCGUCGGGCCUGACCGCAAUUCUCCCGCAAACAUCUAAACAUCGCGGUUACUGUGAAGCAUCGCGAGCGAUCUUUACACGCCGGCCAGCUGGGUAGCACCAGAGUCGCGUCACUGCACUAGGUAUCUUAGAUAUGGUGUACCCUUUGUGAAGUUGGCGGGAAUGGAUAAUUAUUUUACUGUGCGCUUAUUAUUUACUCCGUAUGUCAGAGCGUAAGCUGUGUUAUGCACGAGAAAAUAAACUAUACGUACAGUCUGUGUACACUUUAUAUCAUCUUAGAUUAUCAUGUGGUAGCUUUUUUCAUGCCCGCUUAUGUGACCACGUGUAAUUCUGUGUAUCUCAAUAAAGGCAAUUGCUAUGUGUUCGUAUAUAUA